This 325-nucleotide ribosomal RNA is filed under the name uncultured eukaryote. RNAcentral describes it as "partial 18S ribosomal RNA". It matches the Rfam family "Eukaryotic small subunit ribosomal RNA", at positions 1470 to 1796 of the family's 1831-position model. The record is from RNAcentral.
CCCUUAGAUGUUCUGGGCCGCACGCGCGCUACACUGACUGCUCCAACAAGUUACCUGGGCUGACAAGCAUCCGGGAAAUCUUGCAAAGGCAGUCGUGAUGGGGGUAGAUUCUUGUAAUUUUUGAUCUUCAACGAGGAAUUCCUAGUAAACGCAAGUCAUCAGCUUGCAUUGAUUACGUCCCUGCCCUUUGUACACACCGCCCGUCGCAUCUACCGAUUGAAUGGAGAGGCAAAAUCUUCGGACCGUGACGCUUGGGAGUCAAAUCUCGGGCUGUCGUGGGAAGUGGAUUAAACCUUUCUAUUUAGAGGAAGGUAAAGUCGUAACA